UUGCUUUUCAAUAGCAAGCUUUAAGUAUGGCAAUGGGGUUUUGGCAUGACACAAUGCAUAAUUCUUAUGUUUCUCCUUGUAAAAUUCCCCUAUGUUCAUCAUUUCCAGCUGAUCCUCCCAAGAAAUUUUGCUCUUGGCUCCCAUUUUGUAAGUACAAUGAAGCCGAUGCCAAUAGUUUGUGAUUAUGUAGCUUGGUACAAUAGCUAUGGUAUGGUUUUCCAACCUUGGGAAAUAACUGAAACAAUAUUGAUUUGCUUAAAGGCAGCCAGUUUAACAGGCACCAUGGUCAAGAUUCUAGUAGCUUUCUAAGUUCUGGUCUUCAUGUUUUGGGUUUUUUUCCAGUUUAUCUGCCACGUAUGUAACUUUAUUAAAAAGAAGGGAAAGGACAAUAUGCUGUUUAAAGAUAUUUUUUUUUUUUUUUUUACAUGUGAUUUCAGAAUGGAAAGUUUGGAGCUGUUAGUGUCAUGAACUAUUUCAAAUAUUUUUUAAGAAAUGCUGCUCUUCUGUUUCCUGAGAUGGUGGCUUAGCCUGAUAUACCAGAGUCACUUGACGAGGUUUGAUUUGGAAGUGAACUGCAGCAAGUGAGGAAAAAUGGGGUGGAAGUUACUAAAGGAACUUUUUGAAAGAACUGCCUGCUGCGUCCGCGUGGUGUAACUCCUACCUGGUUUGCUCUGACUUCUGACCAGGAGGAGAGGUUGAUGAUACAGAAUGGCAGCAUGGCUCUCUAGGGCAGCUUUAACAGCUAUUCAGACUUGAGCUCCACAUCUUAAUCUCCGAGCUGCCUAAGGAUGGCUCAGCUCUUAAGGACUUGCAUAAAUGAAAACAGCUUAACACUGAAGAGAAUCACUGCUACUGAAAAUUCACAUCCGCUUGAGCUAUCAUAUAAACUAUCGGUGGAAACAUGAACACUCCAGCACUGGUUAUGAAGUUAUGGUUUACUCAAAAAAUUCUCUCCAAACUGGAGGUGGCAUUUUCUUCCUUACUACAGAUUAAAACCAUGUCAUGUUGAGAGAUAAAAAUGCAAGCCAUUGAUGUGUAUCAUUCAACUAAAGCUAUACUGAACCUAUGCUUACAUUUGAAAAAAAUCACAAACUUAAAAAGAAAUCCUUUAUAUGGGAUAUAAAUACAGAAAAGGUCAGGCCUAAAGAAAGUGAAGUAGUGAGCAAAUGCUAAACAGAACUGAAAUUUGAUUUUAACAAUAUAAUUUUCUAUUUGCUGUAAUACAUGGAUAAACACAGAACAGGUAUCAAAAAAGUAGCAAGUAGGGCUGUAAACUGCUAACAGCUUAAUAUAUUACUAUGAAAUUCCAGCUACACACUUUGUAUAAAUAAAUAAUGAUUCAGCUAAACCAAGAUUAAAGGCUCUACACAAUUCUUGCUAAAGUAGAUUGUACCUCAGUAUUUUAAUGCUGUUAGCAGAAUUUUGUUGUUUACCAUAUUAAUUUCUUCAAACAUGAUUAAUGUCACAUUUCUGCAAUCAUGAAAAGACUUCCAGAGUCUUUAUGUACAUACUACUUCCAACAGGCAAAAAAAGGGGGAGAUAAACUUAGUUUGAAUAAAUGAAUGAAGACACUUUUACAAAUGACGAUAAACAUGACUUUUAAAUUAUUAGGCCUUUCUGCACCAUGUGGUAGAGCAAAACACUGUUGAAAUCUAGGUUAAAAAAAGGCAGUGUGAAAAACAUACUGAUUGGACAUCUCUAACGCUUUCAAGUUUCUUGUGUGCUAAGAUAAGUGAGUCCUAGAAUAUAACAGUGAGUAUCUUAGGAUUUCAGAUUGAUGUACAAGUGGUGACUAAUUCUUGUCUUUUAUCUGUACGCAUAACAUGAACACAAGCAUUUAAUCAACAAAAAGUAAAUACUAGUAUCUUUAUCACAAAACAUUGUCAAUUUAUUUAUAAAGUUUAUAAGAUUUGAAUUAUACAAUGAAAAAAUUUUGAACCAUAGGUAUCAGUAUUUCCCAGUCAGAAGUGAAAUCUUUGUUUAUAGAGUUCUUUCCAGGUGUAGACACCUAAAUCCACUUGAAUGAUUUUGCCUUGUGAAUUGGGAAUUAACUUUUCCCUGUACACUGAAAGGUUUUACUCCUAGCAUUUGAUCACUCCAAAUUAGCUAUUGAGAGAGAAGUUGUGUAAAUUAUAUAUUUAAUAAAUUAAAUAGGAAACGUUUGAUUAGAGGGGGCAAGAGCUAUAUUUCACCUAGACCAUCAUAGUUCAGAAGACUCCAGGGUCUUUUAAGGAUGCCAUAUGAGCAAGGUACAACUGUGCCCCAAUUUAUGAACUAUAACAUCCAUGUUCUUUUUAAGUUGUUGGGGUUUUUUUGUUCACUUUAACUAACUGGUUUCAGAUAAAUUCUCUUAGAAGUUUAGCAUAUAUUAAAAAUCACUGUUAAAAACUCUA
Aquila chrysaetos chrysaetos is the source of this 2393-nucleotide long non-coding RNA. RefSeq lists it as uncharacterized. Lineage: Eukaryota; Metazoa; Chordata; Aves; Accipitriformes; Accipitridae. The record is from RefSeq and is a predicted model, not a curated record. The transcript is spliced from 2 exons.